UGCUGUAGGAGGUGAGGGCAUCCUGUGUAGCGGGAGAACAGAAUAUGUGUAUUAUGACAGAAAUAGGAAUUUCUUGAUGAUUGCUCUGAUUGAGCUGUGUGAGUUGGGAUCCGUAUAAUAGUUCUAAUGAUGGCUCUACUUUUACUGUACUAGGAUGAGUGAGAUAUUUCUGUGUUGUACUCCACAGCACCUUGUUGGCCAUAAGUGGUGAGCUGGAUGUGUCACCACUCUCCCGCUCCUUCUGGUGUGAGGCCAGCAGGGACACAGCGUAGCCCACGUCGUGACUCAGGAGCCACUUGAAGGUCUGUCCCCGGUACUGCCCAAACUGGAUCUCAUAUUGGCUGAGAGGCAGCUGGGAGCAGUGGGGAUCUCCUCCUCCUUGCAGAAUGCAAGGCACCGGCUGGAUGGUGUUGAAGGCACUGGAGAAGUCAAAGAACAUGAUCCUCACAGUGCUGCCGGGCUUCUCUAGGUGCCCCAACCAACCUUCUUAUCAAGCCUCUCUUCCACCGCUACCACCUCUUAGCAAGCCUCUGGUGGGACGGGUUCAUCCUCUGUGCUGAGACUUAAUUAUGAUAUGCCACAGCAACGUCAGCCCCAAGUAUUGGCUGAGGUGGAGUCAACUUUAGCAGCAGUGAUGCAGCAUCAUAAUGCACAGUACGUAAGUCUUGUUUGUAUGUGUAUGUACUUGUAACAGUAUAUUGUUCAUAUGUUGCGUUUGUUUCUAGAAAGUCUGUCAUUUACCAGUUUGAAACGGUCCCGGGGUAAUUCCAUUAACUGGCGUUGGACCACGUGGUGUCACAUGCUUUUAUUGCCAGAUCUAACCUAAGCCAUGCAGAUGUUGGAUUAUUUGUUGCACAUGCAGCCCAUCUCCAGUCAGUCUGUGAAGAUGUCAUGGUCAGUUCUUUACAGGUCUGUGUGGUAGUUGGUUGUUCAGGCUAUAGACUUGUUCACAUUUGUGUCACGGUGGACAUGAGUGAAAGGUCCCAAAAGACUCAACGCUGAUAAUAUUUCAUCUUCUUCUAUAUUUGCAUAAAUCAAAUUUAAACCUUGUUUUCUCACCCAAUGGUUGGUGUCAGCGCAACAGAGCUAAGAUUUGACAUUUACUUGGUUUAUUCUAGUUCAUAAACUCUGAAAACAUUUAAAAAUCACACUCCUGCUGUGCACCCGUUUUUGUGGGCAGUACCAAGAUCAUAAGGCGCAUAAACCAACCUCGUGUUAAGCCAACACCUCCGUCUCCUGCAGAGGAGCUCCGCAAUGGGGAAAUCCACAGGUCAGCAAGAAAGCAAAAGGUCAGUCCCAGCCAUCAUGUUGUGAAGACUUACUUUGGAACAUUUAAGAUGCUGCGUGUGUCCUUUCUCUUCUUCCAGAGACUGCGCCCU
RNAcentral lists this long non-coding RNA (1379 nucleotides) under Betta splendens (Siamese fighting fish). Its description in RNAcentral is "lncRNA (ENSBSLG00000017080.1)". The record is from RNAcentral. Lineage: Eukaryota; Metazoa; Chordata; Actinopteri; Anabantiformes; Osphronemidae.